This 445-nucleotide ribosomal RNA is filed under the name uncultured bacterium. RNAcentral's name for it is "partial 16S ribosomal RNA". It matches the Rfam family "Bacterial small subunit ribosomal RNA", at positions 354 to 796 of the family's 1533-position model. The record is from RNAcentral.
GUAGGGAAUAUUGGGCAAUGGAGGCAACUCUGACCCAGCCAUGCCGCGUGCAGGAUGACGGCCCUCUGGGUUGUAAACUGCUUUUAUACGGGAAGAAAAAAUACUACGUGUAGUAUACUGACGGUACCGUAAGAAUAAGGAUCGGCUAACUCCGUGCCAGCAGCCGCGGUAAUACGGAGGAUCCAAGCGUUGUCCGGAGUUAUUGGGUUUAAAGGGUGCGUAGGCGGAUCUUUAAGUCAGUGGUGAAAGCCUGCAGCUUAACUGUAGAAUUGCCAUUGAAACUGAAGAUCUUGAAUGUGGUUAAAGUAGGCGGAAUGUAUCAUGUAGCGGUGAAAUGCUUAGAUAUGAUACAGAACACCGAUAGCGAAGGCAGCUUGCUGAACCAUUAUUGACGCUGAGGCACGAAAGCGUGGGGAGCGAACAGGAUUAGAAACCCCUGUAGUCC